UACAGAGGGGGCAAGCGUUGUUCGGAUUUACUGGGCGUAAAGGGCGCGUAGGCGGCGUGACAAGUCACUUGUGAAAUCUCCGGGCUUAACUCGGAACGGUCAAGUGAUACUGUCGUGCUAGAGUACAGAAGGGGCAACUGGAAUUCUCGGUGUAGCGGUGAAAUGCGUAGAUAUCAGGAGGAACACCGGUGGCGAAGGCGGGACUCUGGGCCGAUACUGACGCUGAGGAGCGAAAGCGUGGGGAGCGAACAGG
This 253-nucleotide ribosomal RNA is filed under the name uncultured bacterium. RNAcentral's name for it is "partial 16S ribosomal RNA". It matches the Rfam family "Bacterial small subunit ribosomal RNA", at positions 524 to 776 of the family's 1533-position model. The record is from RNAcentral.